Molecule: ribosomal RNA, 433 nt
Filed under: uncultured bacterium
Lineage: Bacteria
Description: partial 16S ribosomal RNA
Rfam family: Bacterial small subunit ribosomal RNA
Source: RNAcentral
AACGAACGCUGGCGGCAUGCCUAACACAUGCAAGUCGAACGAACCCUUCGGGGUUAGUGGCGCACGGGUGCGCAACGCGUGGGAAUCUGCCCUUUGCUUCGGAAUAACUCAGGGAAACUUGUGCUAAUACCGGAUGAUGUCUUCGGACCAAAGAUUUAUCGGCAAGGGAUGAGCCCGCGUAGGAUUAGGUAGUUGGUGGGGUAAAGGCCUACCAAGCCGACGAUCCUUAGCUGGUCUGAGAGGAUGAUCAGCCACACUGGGACUGAGACACGGCCCAGACUCCUACGGGAGGCAGCAGUGGGGAAUAUUGGACAAUGGGGGCAAGCCUGAUCCAGCAAUGCCGCGUGAGUGAUGAAGGCCGUCGGGUAGUAAAGCUCUUUUACCAGGGAUGAUAAUGACAGUACCUGGAGAAUAAGCUCCGGCUAACUCCGUG